RNAcentral lists this long non-coding RNA (295 nucleotides) under Elaeis guineensis (African oil palm). RNAcentral describes it as "long non-coding RNA (EGUI_LNC002858)". Lineage: Eukaryota; Viridiplantae; Streptophyta; Magnoliopsida; Arecales; Arecaceae. The record is from RNAcentral.
UGAUGCACACAUGGAGGAGGUCGUACAGAGGCUUCUGAGCCUGUGACCUCAGAGCCUCCUGGAUGCCAUCCACAAUAUGGUCGUGGAGUUUCUUCGGGAUCUGCAGCUAUACGACUGACUGGGCUCGUCGUCCCAACCAUUACAUCAGAUAAUUAUAUUGCUAAACCCAUAUACUUAUUUUAAAUUUUCAUAUUUAGAAGCUGCAUAUAUUUAGGUUUGAGUCUGAGAAGGGGAUGUAGGAGCUAAAAAUUCAAUCUAACUAUCCAAUCGCUGGGCUAGGGGUAUCUAUAGUUUC